Molecule: ribosomal RNA, 1007 nt
Filed under: Diplotomma venustum
Lineage: Eukaryota; Fungi; Ascomycota; Lecanoromycetes; Caliciales; Caliciaceae
Description: partial large subunit ribosomal RNA
Rfam family: Eukaryotic large subunit ribosomal RNA
Source: RNAcentral
GGCAACAGCUCAAAUUUGAAAUCUGGCCCUUUCGGGGUCCGAGUUGUAAUUUGUAGAGGGUGUUUCGGGUGAGACGUCGGCCUAAGUCCCUUGGAACAGGGCGUCAUAGAGGGUGAGAAUCCCGUAUGCGGCCGGUGAUCGAGUCCAUGUGAAACCCCUUCGACGAGUCGAGUUGUUUGGGAAUGCAGCUCUAAAUGGGUGGUAAAUUUCAUCUAAAGCUAAAUACUGGCCAGAGACCGAUAGCGCACAAGUAGAGUGAUCGAAAGAUGAAAAGCACUUUGGAAAGAGAGUUAAAAAGUACGUGAAAUUGUUGAAAGGGAAGCGCUUGCAACCAGACCUGUCGUCGGGUGAUCAGCCGUCGUUUUCGGCGGUGCACUCGCCCGGUCGCAGGCCAGCAUCGGUUUGGGCGGUUGGAUAAAGGCCGCGGGAACGUAGCUCCCCUCGGGGAGUGUUAUAGCCCAUGGUGCAAUGCAGCCAGCCCGGAUCGAGGAUCGCGCUUCGGCUAGGAUGCUGGCGUAAUGGUUGUAAGCGGCCCGUCUUGAAACACGGACCAAGGAGUCUAACAUCUACGCGAGUGUUUGGGUGUCAAACCCAUGCGCGGAAUGAAAGUGAACGGAGGUGAGACCCCUUAAGGGCGCAUCAUCGACCGAUCCAGAUGUCUUCGGAUGGAUUUGAGUAAGAGCGUAGCUGUUGGGACCCGAAAGAUGGUGAACUAUGCCUGAAUAGGGUGAAGCCAGAGGAAACUCUGGUGGAGGCUCGCAGCGGUUCUGACGUGCAAAUCGAUCGUCAAAUUUGGGUAUAGGGGCGCUUUUUCGCCCCUCAUAGCCUGUACUACAGGCUCUAGUCCUCUGGGCGAGGCUUGCGAUCUACGGGGAUGUCUGCCGCCAGCGGACUGCCCGUACCCACCCGGCUGCCCGGGCCUGGGCCACAGAUCAAGCGUAAGCCGGCGGUUGUCCGAUGUUUCGGGCCGCUUUAGAUAUGAUCGGGCGGUGGCUAUAGAGGCUGCC